This 136-nucleotide ribosomal RNA is filed under the name uncultured eukaryote. RNAcentral describes it as "partial 18S ribosomal RNA". It matches the Rfam family "Eukaryotic small subunit ribosomal RNA", at positions 1299 to 1458 of the family's 1831-position model. The record is from RNAcentral.
UGGUGGAGUGAUUUGUCUGGUUAAUUCCGUUAACGAACGAGACCUUAACCUGCUAACUAGUUGCGCUAACGUGAGUUGGCGUUGACUUCUUAGAGGGACUUUGUGUUCAAGCACAAGGAAGUUUGAGGCAAUAACA